UUUAGAUCCACCUAGAGGAGCCUGUUCUAGAACCGAUAACCCCCGUUCAACCUCACCUUUCCUUGUUUUUCCCGCCUAUAUACCGCCGUCGUCAGCUUACCCUCUGAAGGUCUAAUAGUAAGCAAGACUGGUACAACCUAAAACGUCAGGUCGAGGUGUAGCGUAUGGAAGGGGAAGAAAUGGGCUACAUUCGCUACUACAGCGAACACGGAUGGUGCACUGAAACGUGCGCCUGAAGGAGGAUUUAGCAGUAAGCGGGAAAUAGAGCGUCCCGCUGAAAUCGGCCCUGAAGCGCGCACACACCGCCCGUCACUCUCCCCGAAAACAACCACUCAGUUAAUUAAAACCUAAUAAUCAUAGAGGGGAGGCAAGUCGUAACAUGGUAAGUGUACCGGAAGGUGCACUUGGAAAAAUC
RNAcentral lists this ribosomal RNA (415 nucleotides) under Hexagrammos stelleri (whitespotted greenling). RNAcentral describes it as "partial 12S ribosomal RNA". It matches the Rfam family "Bacterial small subunit ribosomal RNA", at positions 920 to 1533 of the family's 1533-position model. The record is from RNAcentral. Lineage: Eukaryota; Metazoa; Chordata; Actinopteri; Perciformes; Hexagrammidae.